UAUAUUUUAGUGUACGAUGCACACAAAUUUUUGAAAUUUGAAGACAAUAGUUUAACUCUGUUAAAUAUAA
RNAcentral lists this transfer RNA (70 nucleotides) under Pielomastax zhengi. RNAcentral's name for it is "tRNA-Gln". Lineage: Eukaryota; Metazoa; Arthropoda; Insecta; Orthoptera; Episactidae. The record is from RNAcentral.